AACGAACGCUGGCGGCAUGCUUAACACAUGCAAGUCGAACGAUGGCUUCGGCCAUAGUGGCGGACGGGUGAGUAGCGCGUGGGAACCUGCCCCGAGGUACGGAAUAACCGCUGGAAACGGCGGCUAAUACCGUAUGAGCCCUGAGGGGGAAAGAUUUAUCGCCUUGGGAGGGCCCGCGUCCGAUUAGGUAGUUGGUGAGGUAAAGGCUCACCAAGCCUGCGAUCGGUAGCUGGUCUGAGAGGAUGAUCAGCCACACUGGGACUGAGACACGGUCCAGACUCCUACGGGAGGCAGCAGUGGGGAAUUUUGGACAAUGGGGGCAACCCUGAUCCAGCAAUGCCGCGUGAGUGAAGAAGGCCU
This 360-nucleotide ribosomal RNA is filed under the name uncultured bacterium. RNAcentral's name for it is "bacterial SSU rRNA". It matches the Rfam family "Bacterial small subunit ribosomal RNA", at positions 29 to 417 of the family's 1533-position model. The record is from RNAcentral.